Molecule: ribosomal RNA, 467 nt
Filed under: uncultured bacterium
Lineage: Bacteria
Description: partial 16S ribosomal RNA
Rfam family: Bacterial small subunit ribosomal RNA
Source: RNAcentral
GACGAACGCUGGCGGCGUGCUUAACACAUGCAAGUCGAACGGAAAGGCCCUGCUUUUGUGGGGUGCUCGAGUGGCGAACGGGUGAGUAACACGUGAGUAACCUGCCCUUGACUUUGGGAUAACUUCAGGAAACUGGGGCUAAUACCGGAUAGGAGCUCCUGCUGCAUGGUGGGGGUUGGAAAAUUUCGGCGGUUGGGGAUGGACUCGCGGCUUAUCAGCUUGUUGGUGGGGUAGUGGCUUACCAAGGCUUUGACGGGUAGCCGGCCUGAGAGGGUGACCGGCCACAUUGGGACUGAGAUACGGCCCAGACUCCUACGGGAGGCAGCAGUGGGGAAUAUUGCACAAUGGGCGGAAGCCUGAUGCAGCAACGCCGCGUGCGGGAUGACGGCCUUCGGGUUGUAAACCGCUUUCGCCUGUGACGAAGCGUGAGUGACGGUAAUGGGGAAAGAAGCACCGGCUAACUACGU